GCCUUUGAAGCUCAACGGAUAGAGCAUCGGUUUCCUAAACCGUGUGCAGCCGGUUCGACUCCGGCCAAGGGCACUA
Molecule: transfer RNA, 76 nt
Filed under: Bifidobacterium bifidum
Lineage: Bacteria; Bacillati; Actinomycetota; Actinomycetes; Bifidobacteriales; Bifidobacteriaceae
Description: tRNA-Arg
Rfam family: tRNA
About the family: Transfer RNA (tRNA) molecules are approximately 80 nucleotides in length. Their secondary structure includes four short double-helical elements and three loops (D, anti-codon, and T loops).
Source: RNAcentral